This 488-nucleotide ribosomal RNA is filed under the name uncultured Serinibacter sp. Its description in RNAcentral is "partial 16S ribosomal RNA". The record is from RNAcentral. Lineage: Bacteria; Bacillati; Actinomycetota; Actinomycetes; Micrococcales; Beutenbergiaceae.
CACGUAGUUAGCCGGCGCUUCUUCUGCAGGUACCGUCACCCGAAAGCUUCUUCCCUACUGAAAGAGGUUUACAACCCGAAGGCCGUCAUCCCUCACGCGGCGUCGCUGCAUCAGGCUUGCGCCCAUUGUGCAAUAUUCCCCACUGCUGCCUCCCGUAGGAGUCUGGGCCGUGUCUCAGUCCCAGUGUGGCCGGUCACCCUCUCAGGCCGGCUACCCGUCAUCGCCUUGGUAGGCCAUCACCCCACCAACAAGCUGAUAGGCCGCGAGCCCAUCCCAGACCAGAAACCCUUUCAACAACCACCCAUGCAGGCAGAAAUGAUAUCCAGUAUUAGCCCCGGUUUCCCGGAGUUAUCCCAGAGUCUGGGGCAGGUUACUCACGUGUUACUCACCCGUUCGCCACUAAUCAGGGAUGCAAGCACCCAUCAUCGUUCGACUUGCAUGUGUAAAGCACGCCGCCAGCGUUCGUCCUGAGCCAGGAUCAAACUCUA